RNAcentral lists this ribosomal RNA (341 nucleotides) under uncultured Pseudomonadota bacterium. RNAcentral describes it as "bacterial SSU rRNA". It matches the Rfam family "Bacterial small subunit ribosomal RNA", at positions 29 to 351 of the family's 1533-position model. Lineage: Bacteria; Pseudomonadati; Pseudomonadota. The record is from RNAcentral.
AAUGAACGCUGGCGGCGUGCUUAACACAUGCAAGUCGAACGAGAAAGCCCGGUUCGCCGGGCGAGUAAAGUGGCGCACGGGUGAGUAACGCGUGGGUAAUCUACCCUCGAAUCUGGGAUAACAUGCCGAAAGGUGUGCUAAUACCGGAUAAGACCACGAUCCCUUUGGGGAUUGAGGUCAAAGAUGGCCUCUGCUUGCAAGCUGUCGUUUGAGGAUGAGCCCGCGUCCCAUUAGCUUGUUGGUAGGGUAACGGCCUACCAAGGCAACGAUGGGUAGCUGGUCUGAGAGGAUGGCCAGCCACACUGGAACUGGUACACGGUCCAGACUCCUACGGGUGGCUG